UGGCUCAAUGGUAGAGCGUUCGACUCAAAUACCAAAGGUCGUGGGUUCAACUCCCAG
RNAcentral lists this transfer RNA (57 nucleotides) under Schistocephalus solidus. It matches the Rfam family "tRNA", at positions 8 to 63 of the family's 71-position model. Rfam says of the family: Transfer RNA (tRNA) molecules are approximately 80 nucleotides in length. The record is from Rfam by way of RNAcentral. Lineage: Eukaryota; Metazoa; Platyhelminthes; Cestoda; Diphyllobothriidea; Diphyllobothriidae.